CGUUAUUCGGAAUCACUGGGCUUAAAGGGUGCGUAGGCGGCGCAGAAAGUUGGGUGUGAAAUCCCUCGGCUCAACCGAGGAACUGCGCCCAAAACUACUGUGCUCGAGGGAGACAGAGGUGAGCGGAACUUAGGGUGGAGCGGUGAAAUGCGUUGAUAUCCUAAGGAACACCGGUGGCGAAAGCGGCUCACUGGGUCUCUUCUGACGCUGAGGCACGAAAGCUAGGGUAGCGAACGGG
Molecule: ribosomal RNA, 238 nt
Filed under: uncultured bacterium
Lineage: Bacteria
Description: partial 16S ribosomal RNA
Rfam family: Bacterial small subunit ribosomal RNA
Source: RNAcentral